AUCGUUCAUCCCCAUAAGGGCUCGGGUCAUCUUUACAAGGCGAUCGCAGCGCUUGGGGGACGGAAGUAGGGAAAAAUCCCGAAGGAACGCGCC
This 93-nucleotide non-coding RNA is filed under the name Geitlerinema sp. PCC 7407. RNAcentral's name for it is "Glutamine riboswitch aptamer (glnA leader)". It matches the Rfam family "Glutamine riboswitch aptamer (glnA leader)". RNAcentral also lists the same sequence under 1 other name. Lineage: Bacteria; Bacillati; Cyanobacteriota; Cyanophyceae; Geitlerinematales; Geitlerinemataceae. The record is from Rfam by way of RNAcentral.